GUGGGGAAUCUUCCGCAAUGGACGAAAGUCUGACGGAGCAACGCCGCGUGAGUGAUGAAGGUCUUCGGAUUGUAAAGCUCUGUUAAUCGGGACGAAAGAGCCUAGUGUGAAUAAUGCUAGGAAGUGACGGUACCGGAAUAGAAAGCCACGGCUAACUACGUGCCAGCAGCCGCGGUAAUACGUAGGUGGCAAGCGUUGUCCGGAAUUAUUGGGCGUAAAGCGCGCGCAGGCGGAUCUGCCAGUCUGUCUUAAAAGUGCGGGGAUUAACCCCGUGAUGGGAUGGAAACUACAGAUCUAGAGUAUCGGAGAGGAAAGUGGAAUUCCUAGUGUAGCGGUGAAAUGCGUAGAGAUUUGGAAGACCACCAGUGGCGAAGGAGACUUUCUGGACGAUGUCUGACGCUGAGGCGCGAAAGCUAGGGGAGCGAACGGGAUUAGAAACCCGGGUAGUCC
This 450-nucleotide ribosomal RNA is filed under the name uncultured bacterium. Its description in RNAcentral is "partial 16S ribosomal RNA". It matches the Rfam family "Bacterial small subunit ribosomal RNA", at positions 354 to 796 of the family's 1533-position model. The record is from RNAcentral.